RNAcentral lists this ribosomal RNA (886 nucleotides) under uncultured organism. RNAcentral describes it as "bacterial SSU rRNA". It matches the Rfam family "Bacterial small subunit ribosomal RNA", at positions 23 to 887 of the family's 1533-position model. The record is from RNAcentral.
CUCAGGACGAACGCUGGCGGCGUGCCUAAGCUUAUGCAAGUCGAACGCGAACGGCUCCUUCGGGAGCCUAGUAGAGUGGCAAACGGGUGAGUAACGCGUGGGUAACGUACCCUGAUCCUGGGAAUAACCCUCGGAAACGAGGGCUAAUACCGAAUGUGGCGAACGACCGGUUGGUCGCUCGCCAAAGGUGGCCUCUUCUAUGCUGCCGGGUUGGGAUCGGCCCGCGUCCCAUUAGCUAGUUGGUGAGGUAACGGCUCACCAAGGCCACGAUGGGUAGCCGGCCUGAGAGGGUGUACGGCCACACUGGCACUGAGACAAGGGCCAGUCCCCUAUGGGAGGCGCAGGCGGGAAUAGUUCACAAUGGGCGAAAGCCUGAUGACGCGACGCCGCGUGAGCGAAGAAGACCUUCGGGUUGUAAAGCUCUGUCAGGAGGGAAGAAGGCUCUACGGGUUAAUAGCCCGUGGAAUUGACGGUACCUCCAGAGGAAGCCCCGGCUAAAUACGUGCCAGCAGCCGCGGUAAUACGUAUGGGGCAAGCGUUGUCCGGAUUUACUGGGCGUAAAGGGCGCGUAGGCGGUUUGUUAAGUCGAAGGUGAAAUCCUCGGGCUCAACUCGAGAAUUGCCUUCGAUACUGGCAAACUAGAGUGGCGGAGAGGAAAGCGGAACUCUUGGUGUAACGGUGGAAUGUGUAGAUAUCAAGAGGAACACCGGUGGCGAAGGCGGCUUUCUGGACGCACACUGACGCUCAGGCGCGAAAGCGUGGGUAGCAAACAGGAUUAGAUACCCUGGUAGUCCACGCCAUAAACGAUGGGUACUAGGUGUCGGGGGUAUCGANCCCUCCGGUGCCGCAGUUAACGCACUAAGUUACCCGNCUGGGGAUUAUGGUC